GCCCAGCCAGCCUCUGCUCCCUCUUCAAAGCUUCCAACACCUGUGAGGAGAGAGGCAGGAUCCAUGCCCAGCAGAAAUGGUUUAUAGAUUAUGAAGGAUCUUUUCUAUCAAAGAACUUUCUACUAGGGUUCCAUCCAAGUGGGAUUAUCCAGUGUUUGUGGCCCAGCUGCUAACCAGGCAUUGUGUGUGUCCCGCUUGAAAACCACAUCCGAGCCUGUUGUGAUGUACCAGCAAUCAAGUUGCAUAUUUGGCAGGCUGGCCAGUGCCUAGUCCUUAUUCCACCAGCUCUCUUGGAACAACCAGGACACUGAUUUACACACUCAAACAUGAAAUCAGGCUCCCUGGAGCACCCAAGACACAAAGCACUGGCAGCACUCAGAGGUGGCACCGAGGUAAUUUAACAACGUCAUCAAACCAUGAGUUAGAAUUUGAUUUAUAAUGAUGACUAACCCAAUAAAAUGGUAAAGCAAG
This is a long non-coding RNA of Junco hyemalis (dark-eyed junco), 471 nucleotides long. The record is from Ensembl. NCBI's taxonomy places the organism in Eukaryota, Metazoa, Chordata, Aves, Passeriformes, Passerellidae.